RNAcentral lists this ribosomal RNA (292 nucleotides) under uncultured bacterium. RNAcentral describes it as "partial 16S ribosomal RNA". It matches the Rfam family "Bacterial small subunit ribosomal RNA", at positions 505 to 796 of the family's 1533-position model. The record is from RNAcentral.
GUGUCAGCAGCCGCGGUAAUACGUAGGGGGCGAGCGUUGUCCGGAGUGACUGGGCGUAAAGCGCGCGCAGGCGGCCAUCCGCGCCGGUCGUGAAAGCCCCCGGCUCAACCGGGGCACGUCGAUCGGGACGGGGUGGCUGGAGGGUGUCAGAGGGGGGUGGAACGCCGCGUGGAGCAGUGAAAUGCGUAGAGAUGCGGCAGAACACCGGAGGCGAAGGCGGCCCCCUGGGGCACAACUGACGCUGAGGCGCGAAGGCGCGGGGAGCGAACGGGAUUAGAUACCCCCGUAGUCC